GAUGAAGAACGCAGCGAAAUGCGAUAAGUAAUGUGAAUUGCAGAAUUCAGUGAAUCAUCGAAUCUUUGAACGCACAUUGCGCCCCCUGGUAUUCCGGGGGGCAUGCCUGUUCGAGCGUCAUUUCACCACUCAAGCCUCGCUUGGUAUUGGGCAACGCGGUCCGCCGCGUGCCUCAAAUCGACCGGCUGGGUCUUCUGUCCCCUAAGCGUUGUGGAAACUAUUCGCUCAAGGGUGUUCGGGAGGCUACGCCGUAAAACAACCCCAUUUCUAAGGUUGACCUCGGAUCAGGUAGGGAUACCCGCUGAACUUAAGCAUAUCAAUAAGCGGAGGA
RNAcentral lists this unclassified non-coding RNA (331 nucleotides) under soil metagenome. RNAcentral describes it as "partial contains 5.8S ribosomal RNA, internal transcribed spacer 2, and large subunit ribosomal RNA". The stretch from base 1 to 120 matches the Rfam family "5.8S ribosomal RNA", at positions 35 to 154 of the family's 154-position model. The record is from RNAcentral.